This 497-nucleotide ribosomal RNA is filed under the name uncultured bacterium. Its description in RNAcentral is "partial 16S ribosomal RNA". It matches the Rfam family "Bacterial small subunit ribosomal RNA", at positions 28 to 507 of the family's 1533-position model. The record is from RNAcentral.
GAUGAACGCUGGCGGCGUGCCUAAUACAUGCAAGUCGAGCGAACGGACGAGAAGCUUGCUUCUCUGAUGUUAGCGGCGGACGGGUGAGUAACACGUGGAUAACCUACCUAUAAGACUGGGAUAACUUCGGGAAACCGUAGCUAAUACCGGAUAAUAUUUUGAACCGCAUGGUUCAAAAGUGAAAGACGGUCUUGCUGUCACUUAUAGAUGGAUCCGCGCUGCAUUAGCUAGUUGGUAAGGUAACGGCUUACCAAGGCAACGAUGCAUAGCCGACCUGUGAGAGUGAUCGGCCACACUGGAACUGAGACACGGUCCAGACUCCUACGGGAGGCAGCAGUAGGGAAUCUUCCGCAAUGGGCGAAAGCCUGACGGAGCAACGCCGCGUGAGUGAUGAAGGUCUUCGGAUCGUAAAACUCUGUUAUUAGGGAAGAACAUAUGUGUAAGUAACUGUGCACAUCUUGACGGUACCUAAUCAGAAAGCCACGGCUAGCUACGUG